This 109-nucleotide ribosomal RNA is filed under the name Streptococcus pneumoniae. Lineage: Bacteria; Bacillati; Bacillota; Bacilli; Lactobacillales; Streptococcaceae. The record is from RNAcentral. RNAcentral also lists the same sequence under 1 other name.
UGAUGGCAGAGAGGUCACACCCGUUCCCAUACCGAACACGGAAGUUAAGCUCUCUAGCGCCGAUGGUAGUUGGGACCUUGUCCCUGUGAGAGUAGGACGUUGCCAGGCA